GUGUCAGCAGCCGCGGUAAUACGAAGGGGGCUAGCGUUGCUCGGAAUUACUGGGCGUAAAGGGCGCGUAGGCGGCACUGUUAGUCAGGCGUGAAAGUCCUGGGCUCAACCUGGGAACUGCGCUUGAUACGGCAGAGCUAGAGGAUGGAAGAGGGUCGCGGAAUUCCCAGUGUAGAGGUGAAAUUCGUAGAUAUUGGGAAGAACACCGGUGGCGAAGGCGGCGACCUGGUCCAUUACUGACGCUGAGGCGCGACAGCGUGGGGAGCAAACAGGAUUAGAAACCCGCGUAGUCC
Molecule: ribosomal RNA, 292 nt
Filed under: uncultured bacterium
Lineage: Bacteria
Description: partial 16S ribosomal RNA
Rfam family: Bacterial small subunit ribosomal RNA
Source: RNAcentral